Long non-coding RNA from Bos taurus (domestic cattle), 1764 nucleotides. Lineage: Eukaryota; Metazoa; Chordata; Mammalia; Artiodactyla; Bovidae. The record is from Ensembl.
ACCUAAAACUGCUCUUAACAAAACAAAGGAAAACCAAACAUCACUGCCGGUCUGGGUCUUAGUAGAGGAUCUUUGUGGGAUGGGGCCUGGAGUGGCCCAGAGGAAACCCCCAAACCACUGUCCUGACCAUGCCACAGCCUGGGAUGGUGUGGCACCAACUGUGCCCAUUCACACACUGUGACCCCAGACGAGACGUUCUCUUGGGAUCUUUCUCCCAAUGCCUGUAGCUCCCAAGAGUCUACGGUAGCAUCAAUUAGGAUUUGGAGGGUGUAAUUCUGAGGGUGAGACUAGUAAUUAGAGGAUUGUUUAAAAGACUCCUGGCGUUGUUUAAUUACUUGAGAACCAUCAGCCCAUCAUCACAGGGAUAAUGGCCCCUCUAGAGCACAGUGAAGCAACAACACUGUGUCUAUGGCUGGGGAAUCUCCUGUGAUGGGAUCUGGGAGGAAGCCCCAGCACUUCUGCUCAGGCUGCUUGGGACUCGGGCCAGGAAUUCAACAGGAAGAUGUUUGGAGAUCAUGGGAGGAGUCAGAAGAUGUGACUGGCUGCGAUGUAACUGCUGGGAGUUGAUCACCAGCUCAGACAGACAAGCUUUGGCUUGCUAUACAAAAUACCCGCCUUUCCCACUGAGUCUUUAAAGCAAGCCAAGUGGGGAGAAUGGAAUUUGUUCUUGCCAUCUUCAGGGAUGUGUGGCCUGGGAUGCAGGAGGCAAGGGAGGCACCCAGAGCGCCAGUGUUUAGGAGAUUCAGGAAUGCAGACUUGGUACCCAGGAGCCUUUUGCACCCCAGCAGGAGCCUGGCUGGGGCUGCAAGAAGCAGCUGUGGCAGCUGAGUGAGAGGGGAAACUCUUACUAGAAUAUUUGGGCUGGCAAGUGACACCACUUCUGCUCUGAGAUAAGAUGGAGACUUUUCCAAGCUAUGUUUUAAAAUCAUAAAAAAACAGAGUCUCCUGCUGGAGAUAAGAUAUAAGUUGGUGUGGAGCAUCUGGGAGCUGUAAAAGAGGAGGGUUAUACCAGCAUUACUGAGGUUAUUACUGAAACCAAGAUUAUAAGUAAUUAAAGUUUUGAAAGUUUUCUCCAGGUACACAAUAGACUACUCAGUAUGUUGGAUUCUUGAGCUGGGGUCAGGUUAACUAUUAAAAGAGGAUGAAAAGUAUUUCUAACAAACCUGACAUUUAUUUAAAACCUACCCUAUUCCUGCUGUUUUAGCAGAUAUCGCUUUAAGCUGUGGCUCUUUUCCUGGCUCUCGGGACUUCUAAUGUUGAUUCACUUCCAUGCCUACUUCAUGGUGCUUUACCUCAUUUCGAUGUUAAAUUAGCCUGCUUGUUAUCAUGCUGGAAUGGAUGGUCUUCACCACGCUGUCUCCUGGGAUCCAACAAACUCAGAGCCUUCGGAGAAACAAGGACCAACCUUCAUAGCAUUUCUUCUCCAACUAUAACUCCUUUUGCUAGAAGCAAAUGCUGGGCUUGCACGGGAGAUUCUUGUCCCCCCCUCCCUUUUUUUUUCUCAGAAAGAGCAAAUUGCAUUUUUCAUUGCAGGAGCACACAAGCCCUAACUUUCAUGUGCCUAAAAUGUUCUUUAAUCGGCGUCUUCUUUCAGUAUCUUUGAUCUGCAGGAUGUAAUCACAUUUUCCUUGAAGAUAUAAAUCAUCCAAAAAAAAAAAACACAGAAGAGGAGAAAUGCCCUUAAAUAGCUUCUCAAAGUGAAUUAAAAAUGUAAAUUAAUUAUUUUGUAUUAUUUCCUAUGUCUCCCAUCUCGAUCUCCUGUUU